Molecule: long non-coding RNA, 1626 nt
Organism: Coturnix japonica (Japanese quail)
Lineage: Eukaryota; Metazoa; Chordata; Aves; Galliformes; Phasianidae
Source: Ensembl
AUGACCCCGCGGAAGAUUCGCGGUUGUCCCUUCUUCCCCCAACGCUAUCACUUAAAGCCCCAACGCCGCAACGCGCGGGAGGUGCCGUGCCACCAAGCACCAAGCGGGAGAUCGGGGCUGCAGCGCCCGUCACCGCGACCGCUGCUUUCCCAUCCGGAGCCCCGCUGGUUCCCCCCCUCCCGGUCCUCGCCCACCCCUCAUAGCUCGGGGCGACCUCGCACCUCCGUCCCCGCUCCCCCCCCGGCUCACCUGGCGGGUACCUUGCGCGCUGAAUGGUGGGGCUGGCGGGGCGGGCGGCUGCGGGCGGCGGCGGGGUCGGCGCCGGCUGGGAGCUCUCCGCGGAGGCGGCGGCGGGGGAUGGCCGCGGCGGGGGGCGCGCUUCCGACCCGGGGGGCGCUGCGAUGGGGAGAGAAGGCUCGGUCAGCGACCGACGGGGCUCUCCCGGGCCAGGAGUGGCGGGGAGGGCCGGGCACCUCCGCGCUCACCUGCCGGGAGGAGCCCGCGGCCGCCCCUCCAUCCUUCCCUCCUUCCUUCCCUCCCUCCGUUCCGGGCAUCCCCGGAGUUUCUCUGUUGGGAGGGGUGGGGGGGAGCUGCGAGAUUCCUCGGUCGGCAGCACACCGCCCCCCAAUCCCCGAUCCCGGUCCCAGAGGACCCCUCCUUUCCCCGGUUACCCGGAGACGCGGCAGCGCUGCCCGGCACGCGGCUCCCUCCGGGCUGCGGCCGCCGGAGCCGGGAGCGCAGCGGCGCGGGGCCGUAAAUCAGGAGGCAAUGAGCGGCCGCGUCAAAGCCCUUUUCUUCCUCCGUGCACUUUACAUCGGGCCCCCGAGUGACGGCCCUCCCCGCCCUGUAACACGAGGAGCAAAGCGUGAAACACUCCAUUGUAACUGCGACUUCUUCGGCCGAGUUUCGAAACCUUCGUUUACCCGGGAGGGACCGCGCGGGGGGAAAUGCUCCGUUCAAUUAAAAGUUCCGAGCUCCGUUUCCAGCUCCCCGUUUCCCCCGGGGGGUUCGGGGCCACCCCCCGGCGGAGGCUCCGCUGUGCCGCAACCCACGGCCGGAGCGCUCCCGGCCCCGGCGCACGGCGGUCUCCACGGAGGAGGAAGAAAGCGGGCGAAGAAUGUCACCGAGCGGAGCGGCUUGGAGAAAAGUUGGCGGCUCGCUCCCAAAGUUUUUGCUCUCUUUCCUUUUUUUUUGUUGUCGUCGUUUUUUUUUUUUUCCCCUCGAGAAAGCAAUGAGGAGAUCCAGCACCGAGCCCCUAUGCACAACGCCGCGUUUCUCCGCUCUUUCCCUGGGAAAUUUCCUCGCAGUGCAACGCGGCGCCUCGAAACCCAGCGCUGCGGGUCUGCGCCUCACCGGCACCGCCGUCCCGAGCACCGCACCGCCACCGCGCUCCCUCGCGGCUCCGGCCCGGGGGCACCGCACGGCCGCGGCGAUGCUCCGUGCGCGGUCCCCGUGGGGCGCAGCUCCGCGCCAGGAGGCGAAGUCACACCGCUGCCAUCCAUCCAUCCAUCCAUCCAUCCAUCCAUCCAUCCAUCCAUCCAUCCAUCCAUCCAUCCAUCCAUCCAUCCAUCCAUCCAGUCCCUCUCAGGCGGCGGCAUCAUUUCCAUGACAACACCCGGCGGAUAA